Molecule: long non-coding RNA, 2131 nt
Organism: Homo sapiens (human)
Lineage: Eukaryota; Metazoa; Chordata; Mammalia; Primates; Hominidae
Product: long independently transcribed non-coding RNA 2197
Source: RefSeq, marked validated
AACACAACAGGAAAUAGGAGAUUUAUUUCAUUAUGGAAAAGAGCAUCCAGAGCUCAAGGCGCAUGGAGACAGACCUCUACCUGCAAUGCCCCCCUUGCACUUGGACAGAACCAUGUAACUAUUUAUAAGCUAUGACACAUGAGCAGACAUGACAUGACGGGAUUGAUGGAGCAAUGACCUCAUCUUUUCUCCUGCCAAAUAUUAUGAAAGAGGACUCAAGUCACUCACCUAAGGGACACUGGCUGAAAGUCAGUAAUGAAGCUGAAAGGUCGCUAAAUGCUGGCAAGUGAGAUGGAUUAUAGUGUCUAGACUUUUUCCUGAGGUCAUUCUAUAUCCAGCAGAUAUCUUUCAGUAUAUAGUCUAUUCAAAACAAUGUGCUAGUGACUAUUGAGUGUGGUUACAUUUUUUUUUUUUUUUUUUUUUUGAGAUGGAGUCUCACUCUGUCCCCUAGGCUGGAGUGCAGUGGCACAAUCUUGGCUCACUGCAACCUCUGCCUCCUGGGUUCAAGCAAUUCUCCUGAGUCAGCCUCCUGAGUAGCUGAGACUACAGGCACCCACCAUCACGGCCGACUAAUUUUUGUAUUUUUAGUAGAGAUGGGGUUUCACCAUAUUGGCCAGGCUGGUCUUAAACUCCUGACCUUGUAAUCUGCCCACCUUGGCUUCCCAAAGUGCUGGGAUUACAGGAGUGAGCCACCAAGCCCAGCCAGUUACAUUCUUUAAACAAGGAGUGGACAUACCCUGAAACAAGAGAUUAGUCAAAGAGAUUUUGCUAUUCAUGGGACCUAAAAGGUGGCUGUACUUCCCUUUACUGCUUUUCCAUACACAGCAAUGCAUGCUGUAUGGGUUCUUAUAGGUCAGAGCGUGAAAGAGAACCAGGACCUAUAAAAGAAUACAAGUCUCUAAAAUCAGAAAGUUUAUUAUUUAAAAAAAUAGUUAUGUGCCAGUCUGCUUAUAAUUUUAUUUUUAUGACUGAGAGUGCCUUUCAUAAGCACAUUCUGGCAAACUAUAAAACAAAUAAAUUGAAAUUGAAUAAAACCUUUAGACAUUAGAAGUGUAGCACCAGAUUUAGUACAUAACUGCAAAACUUAAACAUGCAAUUUUACAUCUGCAAGCACAUUAAAUUGAAAGAAACUUUAACUUAAUUUAGAUACAUUAAUUGAUACAAACUUUUCUGGUAUAUAGCACUUCUUGGCGCAUUGAGUAUUCUUAAUCUUUAAGGCACAUGAAUAUAAUACCUUAGGAAAGAUCUGUUCUCCACACAUUUCCUCUAUAAAGUGCCAAAAAAAAAUAACGAAGAGCCAGUUUGUCUUCCGCAUCAGUGUGAUUUAGCAUACAUAAAUAAGUAUCUUUUCACACAAAAUAAAAGGUUCAGAACCCAAAGUGUCUGAUUUUUAUAGUGCUUUUUCUUUCCUUUUAAAAAGAUAGCAAGAUGAGGGUAAGAGGUAAUUUAAGAGAAGUAAUCAUCUUCUAACAGCCAGCUUGCAGAAACUAAAACAAAUAUCAAUGAUGUAAAAAUGUUGUUUUGACACUUUGGUAAAUGAAAGUGUGAGAUGAGUAAGAAUAUAUUAUAGGUGCUUGUAUAUCAAAGGCCUGUGAAAAUGGCUGAUUAUAAAGGAGAAAGUUAAUGAUCUCUAAUUGUGUUGUAAUGUAAAUGCAGUAUCACCGUAAUGAAGAGAACAGAUUUGCAUGUUAACAAAAGAAAUAUUAGAGGAGUGAGUGUAGGAUGUUUGGGAUAAUUAAUUCCAUCCUCCACUCCUACAUACAUAUGCAUAUACAAACUCAAUUCAAUUUUAAAGAGAACCCGAAGAACCAAAAAUAGACUGAACACACUUGAUGUUGUAUGGGAGCUUAAAUUACUAUUUUUGUUGUUCUCUGUGACUAUCUCAUUUAGUUUCUAUUGUGUUUGCAAUUUCUUCCAAGGUGAUUUUUAAUGGAUUGAGUAAUGCAUAAAAAUUUGCAGAAGUAUGCAGAAAGUUUGUAUGCAGGGCCAUGUAGAGCUUUUAUCCUACAGUAAAUCCUAGUAGUUUGCUGGUGCUGUGUGAUUUUUUUUGUUUGUUUAGGGUUUGUGUGUGUGUGUGUGUGUGUGUGUGUGUGUGUGUGUGUGUGUGUGUGAAGCUUAUUUAUUCCAUUUC